This 90-nucleotide unclassified non-coding RNA is filed under the name Pseudomonas migulae. Lineage: Bacteria; Pseudomonadati; Pseudomonadota; Gammaproteobacteria; Pseudomonadales; Pseudomonadaceae. The record is from RNAcentral.
UGUGGGAGCGGGCUUGCUCGCGAUAGCGGUGUAUCAGUCGACACUUGUAUUGACUGAUACACCGCUAUCGCGAGCAAGCCCGCUCCCACU